GAUGAACGCUGGCGGCGUGCUUAACACAUGCAAGUCGAACGGAAAGGCCCAUGCUUGCAGGGGUACUCGAGUGGCGAACGGGUGAGUAACACGUGGGUGAUCUGCCCUGCACUUCGGGAUAAGCCUGGGAAACUGGGUCUAAUACCGGAUAGGACGAUGGUUUGGAUGCCAUUGUGGAAAGUUUUUUCGGUGUGGGAUGAGCUCGCGGCCUAUCAGCUUGUUGGUGGGGUAAUGGCCUACCAAGGCGUCGACGGGUAGCCGGCCUGAGAGGGGGUACGGCCACUUUGGGCCUGGGUUCCGCCCCGGACCCCUCCGGGAGCCGGCGGUGGGGAUUUUUGCACAAGGGGGGCAGGCCUGAUGCAGCGACGCGGCGGGGGGGAUGACGGCCUUCGGGUUGUAACCUCCUUCCGCUAGGGACGAAGCGCAAGUGACGGUACCUUGAGAAGAAGCACCGGCUAACUUCGUU
RNAcentral lists this ribosomal RNA (466 nucleotides) under uncultured bacterium. RNAcentral describes it as "partial 16S ribosomal RNA". It matches the Rfam family "Bacterial small subunit ribosomal RNA", at positions 28 to 507 of the family's 1533-position model. The record is from RNAcentral.